UUUCGCUGGGGCUCCUUCCUGUCCUACGAGCUGUGGCCUCCGCAGCACUGCGCAAGCGGGAUGUGUCUGUGCGCCGAGACGCGCCCGCCGUACCAGCUAAAAAUAACAUGUAUGAAGGGCGCUCAACUCUGACCGCCAAUCAGCACUGCUGGCGUCAAGCUGUGAGGCUGAGACGCGGCGCCGGAGGCCUGGGAGCCAGGCGCAUAUCCAGGCCCACACCCCCGCCUGCCACCUGCUUGGCGAGGUGCAGGUGGACCCCGAAGCUCGAGGGUGGCCUGGCGCCACUGCGCCUGCGACGGCCUGGGUGGUGCUGGCUACUACCUGCAGCCCUAAUGGCUCCCUGACUGGGCUGAUUAGAGCAGCUUCCUACUCCAGGCGGAGCAGGGCCCUUCUGUUCGUGGCUGAAAGGUGUGUUCCAGCCUCCAAUGAGGACUACUUCAUUGAGCCCUGGAUGGUGCCCCGGUUCGGCCUGGCCACGCCCAGCCCCAUGUGGUGUACAAGGCCAGGUCCCGGAGAGGUUGGCACAAUGGGGUGAUUCCAGUACUUCCAAGCACCUGUGGGGUGCAAGAGAUGGUAGGAGAUCUGGUGGUAGCUGAUGCCAAAAUGGUGGAGUACCACGGACAGCCGCAGGUUGAGAGCUAUGUGCUGACCAUCAUGAACAUGGUGGCUGGCCUGUUUCAUGACCCCAGUAUUGGGAACCCCAUCCACAUCACCAUUGUGCGCCUGGUCCUUCUGGAAGAUGAAGAGGUGAGAGUUCAUGUGGUCCCACGCUGCCCAGCAAUGACUUCCGGUCCUCUGCAGGAGGUUUCUACAGAGGGGUGGAGUGACCUAAAGAUCACACACCUCAUGCAGACAACACUAAGAGCUUGCAAGUGGCAGAAAAGCAUCAACAUGAAGGGGGACGCCCACCCCCUGCACCAUGACACUGCCAUCCUGCUCACCAGGAAGGACCUGUGUGCAGCCAUGAACUGCCCUGUGAGACCCUGGGCCUCCCCACGGGCGGGCAUGUGCCAGCCGCACCGCAGCUUGCGUGGUAACAACGAGGACAGGCCUGCCGCUGGCCUUCACUGUCGCCCACCCGCUCUCACACAGUUUUGGCAUUCAGCAUGACGGAAGCGGCAAUGACUGUGAACCCGUUGGGAAACGGCCUUUCAUCAUGUCUCCACAGCUCCUGUACGACGCCGCUCCUCUCACCUGGUCCCGCUGCAGCCGCCAGUACAUCACCAGGUUCCUUGACCGUGGGUGGGGCCUGUGCCUGGACGACCCUCCUGCCAAGGACAUCAUCGACUUCCCCUCGGUGCCGCCUGGCGUCCUCUAUGAUGUGAGCCACCAGUGCCGCCUCCAGUAUGGGGCCUACUCUGCCUUCUGCGAGGACAUGGAUAAUGUCUGCCAAGCACACUCUGGUGCCUCUGUGGGGACCACCUGUCACUCCAAGCUGGAUGCAGCCGUGGAUGGCACCCGUGUGGGAGAAUAAGGUAGGGAUUGGUGUCUCAAUGGGGAGUGCGUACUGUGCUUCGCCCGAGGCCGUGGAUGGUGGCUGGUCUCAAGCUGAGCGCCUGGUCCUCUGCUCGCGGAGCCCGGCGUGGUGUACAGAGCCGAGCGGCAGUGCACGCAGCCUACGCCCAAAUACAAAGGCAGAUACUGUGUGGGUGAGCGGAAGCGCUUCCGCCUCUGCAACCUGCAGGCCUGCCCCGCUGGCCGCCCCUCCUUCCGCCACAUCCAGUGCAGCCACUUUGACGCUACGCUUUACGAGGGCCAGCUGCACACAUGGGUGCCCGUGGUCAAUGACGUGAACCCCUGCGAGCUGCACUGCCGGCCCUCGAAUGAGUACUUUGCCGAGAAGCUGCGGGACGCAGUGGUCGAUGGCACCCCCUGCUACCAGGUCCGGGCCAGCAGGGACCUCUGCAUCAACGGCAUCUGCAAGAACGUGGGCUGUGACUUUGAGAUUGACUCCGGUGCUAUGGAGGAUCGCUGUGGUGUGUGCCACGGCAAUGGCUCCACCUGCCACACCGUGAGCGGGACCUUCGAGGAGGCCGAGGGCCUGGGGUAUGUGGAUGUGGGGCUGAUCCCAGCCGGUGCACGAGAGAUCCGCAUCCAGGAGGUGGCCGAGGCUGCCAACUUCCUGGCACUGCGGAGCGAGGACCCGGAGAAGUACUUCCUCAAUGGUGGCUGGACCAUCCAGUGGAACGGGGACUACCAGGUGGCAGGGACCACCUUCACAUACGCACGCAGGGGCAACUGGGAGAACCUCACGUCCCCGGGUCCCACCAACGAGCCUGUCUGGAUCCAGCUGCUGUUCCAGGAGAGCAACCCCGGGGUGCGCUACGAGUACACCAUCCACAGGGAGGCAGGCGGCCAUGGCGAGGUCCCGCCACCCGAGUUCUCCUGGCACUAUGGGCCCUGGACCAAGUGCACAGUCACCUGCGGCAGAGGUGUGCAGAGGCAGAGUGUGCUGCUCGGAGCGGCAGACAGGGCCGUGGAUGAGGAGCACUGUGACCCCCUGGGCCGGCCGAUGACCGCCAGAGAGUGCAGCGCGAGCAGCCCUGCCCUGCCAGGUGGUGAGGCAGGUAGUGGCAGCUGUGCUCCAGCUCCUGUGGGCCUUAGGGCCUCUCCCACCCCGGGCCGUGCUCUGCAUCCGCAGCGUGGGGCUGGAUGAGCGGAGCGCCCUGGAGCCCCGGCCUGUAGAACACCUUCCCGGCCCCUACUGAAACCCUUGCAACCGCCAUGUGCCUGUCAAGCCUGGGCUGUAGGAAACUGGUCUCAGUGCUCAAUGGCUUAUGUAAACCUCAAACGAAAUGUCCUCUGCACCAAUGACACUGAGUGUCCCCCUGUGUGAGCCCAGCAGCCAGCCAGAGAAUCACCUGCUCUCUGCCACCCUGUAUCGGUGGCCCCUGAACACACUGGGCCCUGAAGGCUCAGGUAGCGCUCCUCAGCCACGAGCUCUUCAAUGAGGCUGACUUCAUCACGCCACCGGGCCCCACGCCCUUCACCUGUCUCAUCCCCACCCAAGCCAGGCACCAUAGAGGCAACGCCAUUGAGGGAAGAAGGCCCUAGAGCUGGACCUGCCGGGGGAGCCGUGUUUGUGGAUGACUUCUACUAAAACUACAAUUUCAUCAACUUCCCAUGAUCUGUCCUAUGGGCCCUCUGAGGGCCUGAUCUAGACCUGGGCGGAGACAGGGGAUCAGACGCCCCACCACACAGUGGUCUGCUGUGCCCUCCACAGAUGGCCCAUUGCACCUGCCACAGAGCCUCCUGCAGCCAAGGAGGGAGAGGGCACGGGACCUUAGUCCCCUAGCCCUUAGCCCAGCCAGGCAGCCCUCCCCCCCACCCUCAGAGCAGACCCCUGGGAACCCUUUGAUCAAUUUCCUGCCUGAAGAAAGACGCCCCCAGAGGGCCCAGAUCUUAGGCUCCCCAGCCUGCCCUGGCCCAGGAGUUUCCAUUGAUGGCCUGCAGACGCCUGCCACCCUGAAGCCAAAAUGACUUCCCGUGCCAAGGACGAGCCAGCUACCCCCUCCAUGGAGGGACAGGACCAAUGAAGUUUCAAGGAUGAUGAGAACCCGAGGGCCGUAGAGCACCCACCCGCCUCUGGGACCCAGCCCCACGCUGCCCCUUUGUCCCUGCCCCCUUUGUCCCUGUCGGCAGUACCUCCUCUCCUAGUCCUGAUGUGAGGAGGCUGUGGACAGGAGGGACUGUGGCCUGGGAGCCAACUCUGGAGGGUGGCCUGGGGCCUGUGGACAGUGAACUGUGGCCCACUGUUGGGUGGCUCCUCCCCCUCCUCCCCCAUAGCCCAUCUGCCAGAGAUGAAGGAGGCAGGACAGCCCCUGGAGCCGAGGACUCCCACUGCCCCACACCCCAGGACCAGGCUUAUGGGACGUGCAGACUGUGGCAGUGUGGGGACCUUCCUCCCCAACCUGACUGGCCUCGGGCUGGCCUGAGCCUGCCUGAACCCAGGACCCAAGGAGCCAGCCUGAGUCCUCAGCCUGAGGUGCCCCUACAGGCUCUAGGCUACUGUCCACGCCCGCUUGGGACAGCCCCGCCAACAACCCACAGAACCCCUGAGACCCAACCGCUGGCUCCCAGCCUGGCACGAAGCCGUCUCCCUGCAGACCCGUUGGCUGUCAGGAGCGCUAGCUGGCCAGGGAAGCUGGAGCCAGGCAAGUGGUCACGGUGCUCCACCACCUGUGGCCUGGGUGCCGUCUGGAGGUCGGUGCGCUGUAGCUCUGGCCGGGAUGAGGACUGCGCCCCGCUAUCGGCCCCAGCCUGCCCGCCGCUGCCACCUGCGGCCCUGUGCCACCUGGCACUCAGGCAACUGGAGUAAGGUACUCCGCAGCUGCGGCGGAGGUUCCUCAGUGCGGGAUGUGCAGUGUAAUGUGGACACAGGGACCUCGGCUGCUGCAGCCCUUCCAUUGUCAGCCCGGGCCUGCCAAGCCACCUGCGCACAGGCCCUGCGGGGCCCAGCCCUGCCUCAGCUGGUACACCUCUUCCUGGAGGGAGAGUGAGUGCUCCGAGGCCUGUGGCGGUGGUGAGCAGCAGCGUCUGAUGACCUGUCAGAGCCAGGCCUCUUGAGGAGGCGCUGAGACCCAACACCACCACGGCCCUGCAACACCCACCCCCUGCACACAGUGGAGUGGUGGGCCCUGGGACCAGUGCUCAGCCCCUGUGGUGGUGGCGUCAGCGCGGCGCCUGGUGUCAAGUGUCAACACCCAGAGCGGGGAGCUGCCAGAGGAAGACAGCGACCCAGUGACAGAGUCCUCAGCCAGGGCCCUCAAGCUGGCAUUCGGGGCCCCCUGCAAUCUCCCCGGCUUUGUGGCCCACCUGAGAAGUGGGAGGUUGGCCUGGGAGAUGGGACCCUGUGACCCAGAACCCGAGGCUGAGUACAGCCCCCGUGGCUGGAGGUGGUCACGGAGGCCUGGCAGGCCAGAUGUACUGGGGCAGGGGGUGGUGGUGGGAGUCGGGGACAGAGGCCGCUGCAGGCUGGCAGGAGGCCCCGGGACCGCAGUUCUGUGGCAGGAUCUGUUGGGGAACACCAGGGGCUGUGAGCGGGACCGCCUAUCCUUCGGGUUCUGUGAGAGGCUGCGCCUACUGGGCCGCUGCCAGCUGCCAACCAUCCGCAUGCAGUGCUGCCGCUCAUGCUCUCCGCCCAGCCACGGCGCCCCCUCGAGGCCAUCAGCGGGUUGCCCGCCGCUGACUGUGCCAGGAUGCACAGACUGACCGACAGACCUCAGUGCCCACUACGGGCUGUGGCGGAGCUUCCACCCCCUGCGCCCUAAUGGUGCUAACCCUCUCCCUACCCAGUGGCAGGCUGGGGACCUCCUCCCCAUCAAAAAAGGUAUUUUUUUAUUCUAACAGUUCGUGUAACAUUUAUUACGAUUUUACAUAAAUGAGCAUCUACCAUUCCAAA
This is a non-coding RNA of Chlorocebus sabaeus (green monkey), 5401 nucleotides long. The record is from RefSeq and is a predicted model, not a curated record. NCBI's taxonomy places the organism in Eukaryota, Metazoa, Chordata, Mammalia, Primates, Cercopithecidae.